Molecule: long non-coding RNA, 7624 nt
Organism: Antechinus flavipes (yellow-footed antechinus)
Lineage: Eukaryota; Metazoa; Chordata; Mammalia; Dasyuromorphia; Dasyuridae
Exons: 9
Source: RefSeq, a predicted model, not a curated record
UGUAAAUAUCCGUGCUUAAUUUAGCCUUCUUUGGGGAGAGGAAGGGGAAAGGAAUAAAGUAAAAAAAUAUACAGCAGAGAAAAAAAGAAAACCUACAAGGAAGCAAAGAUGGACAGCUCUGAACAAUGUGUAGUAUUUAUUAUAUAUGCUUUCUUGAAAUGGAAAUUUAUUGCUUUACAUCUUAAAUCCUCUCAUUUUCUUCUGUGUACAAGGUGAUUUUUUUCUAUUUAAGUUUUUAAUAAAUACAUUUAAGAAAAUAUAUCAACCAUCGAGUAUGGAUUAGAAAUCCAAGAAGCUGGUUUCAGGGAGAUCAAGGAGGCCAUUCCAAUAGUCCAAUCAAGAAGUAAUGAGGAACUAAUUAGGGUGGCAUCUAUGUGAAUGGGGAGAAGGAAAUAAAUCCUUGAGUUAUGGAGAGAGAAGGAAAUAAGUCCUUGAGAUAUGGAGAAAUAAAUGGCAUUACUUCAAAACUUAUUAUAUGGAAUAAGUGAGAAUGUGGAGUCAAAGAUGACACUGAUAUGAUUCUGGGUAACUUUUCAGAUUGGAAAGCUCUCAACAGAAACAGGGAAAUUUUAAAAAGAUAGUUUGGGGAGGAAAUUUAAUAAUUUCCGUUUGGGGAAUGCUGUGUUUGACAUGUUUUUUAAAACAUCCAACAAGCAAAUGGUUAAAUAGAACUAAAGCUCAGGGAAAAGGUUGUGCUGAAUAGAGAGAUGUGUGAAUCAUUUGCAUAGAGAUUUUAACUGAACCCAGAGGAACUGCUAAGUCACCAAGUGAAAGAAUACAGAAAGAAAUGAAAAGGCCCAGCAUAACAUGGGCUCAAAUCCAGUCAAAGAAAUGAAGAAGGAAUGGUUAACUUAAUAGGAAGAGAACCAAGAGAAGUCAGCCAGUCAAUAAGCAUUUAUUAAGCAGCUACUCUGGGUUUUCAGAGAAAGGCAAAAGAAAUUCCCUGUUCUCAGUCUAAUGGAGGUGAUAACAUGGAAAUAAUUGUGUACUAUUUACAGGAUAAAUUGGAAGUGAUUAACAGCCAGGAGGCACUAGAAUUAAAGGGAAUUGGGAAAAGCUUCUUUUAGGAGACUGGAUUUUAGCUGGGACUUGAAAGAAGCAACAGAAGCCAAGAUUCAGAGAUGAAGACGGAGAGCAUUUUGGGUAUGAAGGGCAGCCAGUCAAAAUGUCUGGAGUUUGAAGAUGGAAGAGGGAGCACUCAGGAGGAGAAGACAGUUAAUUGUUUCAAAUGCUAUAGGGAGACAGGGAAGGAUGAGUAAAAGUCACAGACUUGGUAAUUAUGAGAUCACUUUGAAAAAAGCGGUUUUAAUUGAGUGAUGAAGUUGGCUAGAAGUUAGAAUAGAUGAGAAAAGAAAGUAAUGAAUAUAGAUAGAUUUUUCAAAUAUUUUGGCUAAGAAAUAAAAAGAUGGACCAUAGCUCUCAGGGAUAAUACAAUAUAGUGAGGGUUUUCUUUUUUUAAAAUUUAAAAGAUUACGGGCACAUCUGUGGUGAGCAGCAAGGAAGAAGCUAAUUUUUGUUUUUGUUCAGUUGUCUGAUUUUUCGUGACCCAUUUGGAUUUUUCUUGGCAAAGAUAUUGUCAUUUCCUUCUUCAGCUCAUUUUACAAAUUUUGAGGGAAAUUAGGUAGUCAAGUGAUUUGCCCAGGUUUUUGAAUUAGGUUCUUCCUGACUUCAAGUGGGGUGCUCUAUCUACCUAGCUGCCCAGAGUUGCUAAAGAGAUAUGGAAGAUUAAAGAGAGAUAAUAGUGGGGGAAAUGUGCCAUAGAAGAUAGGGAGAUAAUGGGAUAAAGAACUAUGUAUUACCCAAAGAUUAGAGUUGGCAAGGACUUUUCCAAUAGGACCGGAAGUGAAGAAAGAAUGGGAGAUGUCAAGGGAUUAUAAAAUAAGAAUGAUAGAAGAUAGUCACAUUGUAUGGCCUUGUUGGGUUUCUUUUUUCUUUGUAGCUAUAUACAGUAAAUUCCUCAGCUGAGGAGUUGGGAGAAGGAGAAUUCUAUAGUAUUCUAGAGGAGAGGAGGUUUGGAGUGAAUAGCCUUAUGCCACAGUUCUCUUUAACUGUCCUGACUCAGUUUCCCUGCACUAAUUUCCCUUGUCUCAGUUUCUUUAACUGUUCUGUGUCAAUCCUCUAAGCUGUAAAACUCCCCCUCUGGUCUGACUGAGGACCAUUUGCCCUAAGGUUAUAAAUUGUUAGCAAGAUAAACAAGAGAGUAGACCUCUUGACUCUUUUCUGUCCUCAAGAAUUUACAAUAUCCCUCUGAAAUAUUCCAAGAUACCUCACUGAUAUCUUUAUUUCUGUGUAUUCAGAACAUCCUGUCUCUGGGUUUUUAGGAUUUAUGGCCUCCCCCAUCCUGACAGAAGUUUUCCCGCGCUUCUUACCCCUUCCUUUGUUUAGAGAAAAGGUAUUUAAGAAGUUGGGGUUCCUCCAUUCAUUGCUGGAGGCUGGAGACCCUGGACACUGGAUUCUUUGGGAUGACAGUCUCCUCCAGCCCUGGGACCAACAUGGAUUUCUUGGUCCCAGUAUAUCUUUAUCUCUGUCUGACUGGAUCAUUUGAGAGGAGAGUCCUGUCCAGUCAAUCUUACUCUCCCAUUGAUAAAAUAUUAAAACCUCUCUAAUCUCUCUCCUGCCUCAGUUUCUCCAGCAUUACAAUAGGUGGGGAAUUAGAGGAGUAAAACGAUUGCCUUACUGCAGUGAGGAUUUAGUUGAGAUGAGUUAACAAAAUUUGUGGUGGAUCCAAUCAUCCUAGUUGCAUUACUUCUUCUAACUUCAUUUUAGAGUCCGUAUAUGAACAAAGGAGAAAGAUAAGUGAUAUUACUGAAAAGUUGGAGUUUGGCAGGAAUAUCUCCAGGACAGGGAAGUCCAAAGUAGAAAAUAAUGUAAAGUUUAGUGAGUUAAAUAAGGGAUAAAUAUUGGGGAGGAAGAGGAGUAUAUUCUGAGUUAGAAGAGAUGCCAUGCUUUGGGAUAAGUGUAGGAGGAAAAAGGGUUACUAUCAGAGGGAUUUCAGGUCUUGAUCAUGGAAGUGAAACAUGCAAGUGAUAGCAAGAUCAGGGGUGUGGCCUUCAUGGAGUUGAGAAGACUGAAAGGCUGGGAGUUUGGUUGUGAAGUAACAUCACAAUAUAUUUGUUACAACUCCCAGGAAUAAAGGCAGAAGUUGGGAUGUAAAGAAAGACUGUGACACAGUCACUGAACUCACCGAGAAAUAAGGGCAAAUGGAGCAGAUAGCUAACAGCUACCAGAAUUUCAAAAAUGCUGGUGAAAAAGUUCGCUGAAGUGAAUCUCAAAUGGACAGAAGCUGCUGAGUGAGAGAAGAAUCGUCUAGAAUGACUCUUAAAUUGCAAACCAGGGAGAGGGGAGGGUGGUCCUAAUCGAGCUCCUGUCACAAACAAGGAAGUGGAGGGGAGGGGUUUGGGGGAGAUGCUGAAUUAGAGGUGUCUCUUGGGCAUUCAGUUGGAAAGAGCCACUAGACAGUUGGCGAUGCGUGACUGGGGCUCGGAGGCUGGAUAUCGCUCACAGAUCAUAAUGCUCCUCCCGCAAUUACUCAGGUGGAGGAAGGCACCGGCCGGAUACACAGGAAUUUUACAUUAAGGAGGCUGAGAAUAAGCGCGCCGAGUGGGGAGGAGACGGUUUCUUCAGGAAGCCCAGCACUCCGUUGGGACCUUCGGGAGAGAAAAGUACGGAAACCCAAGUUCCGCGGCGCAAAAGAACGCCUUCCCAUUCGGAGGCUCAAGUGUGGCUUCCGGAAGCGCCGGCACGCAGCUACGAGAGAAUCUACCUCAUUUUCGGCUCUGGGGCCGCCCCAGGAUCCGGAAGACUGGACAAAAGAAAGCGGAAAUCCGGUGGCGCGCAGUGCAGGCCGGUAUCUGUAGGCAGGUGAAGAAAGACCCGGGAAUUGUUCAACUUCCGGUUAAGUGCCGCAAUCCCUGGGGGCUUGUGGUAAAAAGAGAAAAAUGGUUGUCUCCUGGGCGGUGGGGUCUAGCUUCUCGUGUUUCUCUUUGCUUUCGGGAGUCUCUCGCAAUAAACAUCGCAAAGUACAAUGGCCUAAAAAAAAAGCAAAAAACUUCCCCUUCUACUCCCGUUUGUCUUCACCACCAUCUGUAAUCCAUGUCGGUCCCUUUCAUUUAAAUCAGAUUCCCAUGAUGCAUUGCGCCCUGGGUCCUUGUGAUUGGUCCGGAGACAUUCUACAUCCGUUCUACAUUCAAAUCGUGGCGCGGGAAUGUUUAUUCUGCUUCUGAGAUGAAGCAGCUGUCUGGAGUGGCGUUAGCUAGCAGCUGCACUGAGUUGAAGGACCUGAAUGAGGUGAGAGCUCCGUUAGGGUCUUGGGCGGGUGGGGCUCUUCUCGGCGUCGCCGGUCAUGAGGUGGUGCUGUAGGAGGUGUUGGGCGCUCCCGGUAGCUCCGCUUCCUGGACUGGCCCGGGCCGAGCGGAAGAGGCGGACGCACCUCGAGCACUCGUCCCUGCCCUGCCCUUGCUAUUUCUCAGUCUGGUUUUAGGUUUCCCGUUAUGACUCCAGCCGAGUCCCGUUGGCAAGAAGGAGGAUGAGAAAGGAAAAAACAUCCAGGUGGUGGUGAGAAGCAGCAUUGCCCAUUAGGCUGUCACCCAACGUUGUUGUUCCUGUUGUUUGUCCUUUGUUCUGGGUCCAGUGACCAGAUAGAGAUCAGGACGAUUGGAGAUGGCUGAGUGCAGUGGGAAAACUGGGGCUUUUUAAGAUUGAUAUUGCAGGAAGUGAAAAUAUUGGUCAUUCUGGGGCAGUUGACAGAAGAGCUUAGGAAGCUGGCAAUAUUAACCAAUCUCUUUUAACCCUUGGAAGGGUUAUUACUGCCCUUGUUGAAAGAGCGCCACACAUUCCUUACUGAGAAUCCAAACUAACUAGGAUCCUUCAAGAUUCUCUUGGGAAUUGUACAAAAACAUCUAUAAUUGCCACAGUUUCCCCUGCAUCAGUCAAUAUAGAGGAAACAUUGAGUACUUUGGAAUAUGCUCAUAAAGCAAAAAAUAUAAUCAAUAAGCCUGAAGUUAACCAGAAGCUCACCAAAAGAGCUCUUAUUAAGGAGUGUACAAAAAAUAGAGGUUGAAACAAGAUUUAGCUGCGGCCUGAGAGAAAAAUGGAGUCUACAUUUCUGAUGAAAACUGUUGUAAAGCAAAGGUUGUGUUAUAUCCAAAUUGGAGAUCAUGGAAAAAGUCAAUGGACCAAAGGCAGUACAAGACAUCCAGCUGACCUCCUUUCAUGAUGAAAUAACUAAUGACAAGGAGAGGCUGGUGCAACAGAGUGAAGAACUUCACGAUAUCAUGAAACAUGAUUGGAAUAAACUUAAUUGCUUCUUGCAGCAGGACCUGAAACUGGAUAUUCCAAAGGUAGUUUAGAAGGGAAGGUUCAACUCCACAGAGGAAAAUCUACUCAUACCCAUCUACACUGCUGGGAACUGAACCUUGGGAGCAACUCCUCAACCAGCUGAGAGAGAGAGCCCAAGCUCUUAACAACAGUAAUUGUUAAAGCAGAAGACCUGAGUCAGCUAAAAUGAAGUGUUGGGAUCUCCGGGUUUCUGGCUCCUCCUUCACCAGGCUCCUUUUUAAUUGUGAUACAGACAGCUCCUUUGUGAGACCAUGACUUAGAGGAAGAGAAACCUGCUCUGGAGUUCACCAAUGAAAACAUCAUAAAUGAAGAAUCAACAGAGGACACAAGUGUAUAUGAUCCUAUAAAUGGCGGUAUUCCUAUUUUCCAGCAUCUUUAUGUUGGAGAUUCUUCAUUGCUGAUGGUGAGUUUGUGUUGCUCUGUCCAUGUCCUUGUUCCUUUGAAUUGCCUUUCUCUUCCCAUAAUCAAGCGUAACCUUUUGUGAGGCAGCUGAUUGACGUCAAAGGUGCCAAUUAAAGCUAUAAUUUUUCUAUAUUCAGUUUAAAAAUUUACUAACCUACUGUAUAUAACAUAUUGUACAAAAAUUUACAUACUUACUGUAGGCAGAGAACUGAGAUACUAGCCAGAAUGUACCCUCUUAAGUUUAUAACCUAGUGGUGGUGGGAAUGAAUGAGCCAUAAAACAGCCAUAAAACUUGAUAAAAGCAUUAGAAAGUGGUUUAAAGGAAGGGUAGGAAUUCAGCAGGCAACUGGAUGAAGAAUGCAUUGAAAAAUGGAAUGAAGCCAGAUUAUGGAGGAUCUUGAAUAAUAAAUAGGUUUAGGAGUUUGAACUUUAUUCAGUAUGAAAAUCAAGCAAAUAACUAUGAGAUACUAGUGUAUCUGGAGACCAAGUCCUCUUCACAAAGUAUCAUGUUCCAACCCAAGCAUGGAUCCUUUUCCUUUUUAAAAAUUUCUUUUGGGCUUCAUGCCUAGUAGUGGUAUUGUUAGAUUAACGGAUAUGCAUGAUUUUAUAAUCCUGUGGGCAUAGUUCAUAUUUUUGAUCAUUUAUUAAUUGGAGAAUGGCUUUUUGAAAUAAAUCUGACUCAGUUCCCUAUACAUAUGAGAAAUGAGGCCUUCUUUGGAGAAACUGGUUUCAAAAUUUUUUUCCCAAUUACUAUUGUAAACUGUAUUUCCCUCCUUCCCUCUCUCCCCCCCGAAAAAAUCAUGGCAUAUUUUCUUUCAAUUAAGGCACUAACACAAAAUGUGAUCUUUUAUUUUCUCUAUUUGGGGCAGAGCACAGUGAUUAUUUUUCACUUUUCAUACCAUCUGGUUAGUGGAAUAUACAUGAAAAAACAAAUAUUCCUGAAAGGAAUAUUUAGCAAAGAUACUCAUUUUAAACUCUGAGUGACACAGUUGCAGACUUUUAUGACUGAGCAAAAUUUUUCAUUGUCAAACUAGAAGUGAACUGCUAAAAAUUCGAAAUAAAAGAAUUUUAUGGGUAAUUGAAUUAAAUCUAAGACAAUGGACAAAUGAUUGGAACAGAUUUUCCUUAACUUCUGUACUGAUUUUUUCUAAUUCUGCUUAAGGUCUUUCCUAAAAUCUUUAGUAACAUGAUAGACACACUAUGAACAUAUUUCCAAGAACAGUUUCCUGCCCUGAUUCUCAAUUUUGUUGCUCUUUUCCUCAAACCAUUAAGCCCACCUCAGAAUGACACUUUCACAUAUUAAGGAAAAGACCAGGUUCUAACUUACCUGAAACUAUUAAAACUUUCUUUUGAAAGAAAGUAAAUCUUGCAGUGCUGCCUUAGUUCAUAUAUAAACUGUUUCAGUAUAAUAACUUAUGUUCAACAGCUGCGUUAGUAUGUAACAUAUUCCACGAGACUUCCCAGUCUUAGAAGAAGUUGAUUUAACUCGAAGUAUGGGUUACUAUGCAUGCUGGUUUAAUAGUUCAAAGUAAAUGUUAUAAAAGCAGCAAAAUCAGCCUACUUCUUAGCUUACUUGUCAAUAGAAAGAGUAGAAUUACAAACAGAAUUACUUUUUCCUGAGCCUAUUCCCUUUGGGUGAAGAAAUGCAUUUAAAUAACUUAAUAUAUUGAAUAACACAUUAAAUUCAGAGGCAGAAGGGAACAUCUGGAGUUCUUUACCAGUUAUGCUGUCUUUUCUCCAGAUGUGUAAAAGGUGAUAAAAAUUGAAUUUGUUUGUAAGGUACUAACCAGUUAAUUAUUUUGCAUAUGUCUAAUUUUAUUAUGCCUGUAUAUUAUGUUGUUAUUAUAAAUUUAGAUUGAAUAGAAUAAAUUCACUGUGAUUAAAA